CACAGCAUAGCUUAUCAAAGCAUCCCGCUUACACCGAGAAGAUAUCUUAUAAUUAGAUCACUGUGA
Molecule: transfer RNA, 66 nt
Filed under: Synapturanus sp. MZUSP 159221
Lineage: Eukaryota; Metazoa; Chordata; Amphibia; Anura; Microhylidae
Description: tRNA-Val
Source: RNAcentral